CCAAACUUGGUCAUUUAGAGGAAGUAAAAGUCGUAACAAGGUUUCCGUAGGUGAACCUGCGGAAGGAUCAUUAUCGAAUUCCACAUAAUGGAGAGGGAUGAGUGGGAAACCAGUUGGUCCGCUCUUGAGCGGGGCUUCUGCGAGUAAGCUCUCCUUUACCACACCCUUGUCUUUUGCGUACUACUUGUUUCCUCGGCAGGCUUGCUUGCUGUUUGGACACUAUUAAACUCUUUUUGUAAUUGCAAUUAGCGUCUGAAUAAACUAUAAUAGUUACAACUUUCAACAACGGAUCUCUUGGUUCUGGCAUCGAUGAAGAACGCAGC
RNAcentral lists this unclassified non-coding RNA (323 nucleotides) under uncultured fungus. RNAcentral describes it as "partial contains small subunit ribosomal RNA, internal transcribed spacer 1, and 5.8S ribosomal RNA". The stretch from base 1 to 73 matches the Rfam family "Eukaryotic small subunit ribosomal RNA", at positions 1759 to 1831 of the family's 1831-position model. Lineage: Eukaryota; Fungi. The record is from RNAcentral.